RNAcentral lists this ribosomal RNA (377 nucleotides) under Strombidiidae sp. Its description in RNAcentral is "partial small subunit ribosomal RNA". It matches the Rfam family "Eukaryotic small subunit ribosomal RNA", at positions 582 to 975 of the family's 1831-position model. The record is from RNAcentral. Lineage: Eukaryota; Ciliophora; Spirotrichea; Strombidiidae.
AUUCCAGCUCCAAUAGCGAAUUCUAUUUCCGCUGCAGUUAAAAAGCUCGUAGUUGGAUUUCUGAUAGGGAGCCGAUCACCACUGUUGUGAGUGUUAGGUACCUGUCAUCCUUCUGUUAACCCCUGCGGCAUUCAUUUGUCGUUGGGCGGACCAGAUACUUUACCUUGAGAAAAUUAGAGUGUUUCAGGCAGGCCUAGCCGGAAUACAUUAGCAUGGAAUAAUGGAAUAGGACUAUAGUCUCGUCGUUGGUUACGUGGACUGCAGUAAUGAUUAAUAGGGAUAGUUGGGGGCAUUAGUAUUUAUUAGCUAGAGGUGGAAUUCUCUAAUUUGAUAAAGACUAACUUAUGCGAAAGCAUUUGCCAAGGAUGUUUUCAUUG